CAAAUGGUCAAUCUGCAGUUGAUUCAGAAGCCCUGCGCACCAGGGCUGCAUUCCCAACACGAAUUAAAUUAUGAGGCGUUUCAGGUCCGAAGAGAAAAUAAUUGUACGCUCGCAGACCCCGUUAAAAACGAGGGCUGAGGGGCUUACGUUGCAAACUUCCCUUGCUUGGCUAAUCAUUUGGACCGACGACAAAUAUGGCCGCGGGGAUUCCCCCAAGGGCUGAGGGUUUAGGCUCGAGGGCUGUCUACUUUGAGUUUGAAACGCAGCACAGGUAGGUAAAAGUGUAUCUAUUUGGAACCAUUCAAUUUGUCUGAAAACACAAACUCGCCCUAUCAGGCGAACCGGCAGAUCUGUGGUUAAAUCGAGUGCGCCUACUGUGCUGGCCAAUUGGAUUGCUCAAAUCACCGUGCCAACAGCUUCGAAGACCCGGCAACAGCGAAGUUUGAUUUCAUGACUUUUAAAAACAUGACCAGAGAGACUGUCAAAUAAUACAGCAAAUAGCUGCUGUUUUUAUGAAUGCGGCUCGAGUUUCGCCAUCAGGUGGAAGACGGUGUCCGCUCUUUGCUCAGUCUAACGGGGGGAGAGGAACCGAAGGAGAGAGCAGUGACCGUCAGAGGUGGACCCUCUGCUUGCUGUCUCCCUACCUCCGCUGAGACUAAUGCCGUGUUCAAAACUGGGCAUUUUUAAAUCACCUACUUCAGUGCGUUUAAGACAACUGGGUUCUCGGGAGAGAAAAAAACUAGAUCAGACUGGGAAUAAAUAGUUUUGAACGGUCAUCCAACUCGGAAUUUCAAGACGGAAACACAGGCAUCUUUUCUAGAGCUCCGACUUUCCGACCUGAAUAUCGCUGAUGUCAUGAUUUGAACUCGUUUUUCUCCCCAGUUCUCAGUUGUCUUGAAAGCACCAUGAUCAUGACGCAAGAUACAUCAGUCCGGUAAAAUAAAAAAAUGGUCUGAGAAGAAGAACAUCGCUGGCAUAUAUAGCCAAUAUGCUGUGUUAAUCUGUUAGACCUACUGCACAAACCUAAUUCCUACAGAAUUGAUUGAGUUUGAGUUUAUUUUUAAAGGGACAGUGCACAUUAAUCAACGUUUCAGUAAAAGUGCCGGUUUUAGUCAGCCGGCUAAUUUCAACGGCAGUCCCUGGGCAGGUAAAAACAAUUACAAUAUAGACAAUCAUUGAGCAGUGAGCACACGCAGAGCAACAUAGGACAAGCAAGACAUAGCAUACACACAGAGCAACAUAGGACAAGCAAGACAUAGCAUACACACAGAGCAACAUAGGACAAGCAAGACAUAGCA
This is a long non-coding RNA of Oncorhynchus tshawytscha (Chinook salmon), 1298 nucleotides long. The record is from Ensembl. NCBI's taxonomy places the organism in Eukaryota, Metazoa, Chordata, Actinopteri, Salmoniformes, Salmonidae.